AACGACGAUGAGAUUGGAGCAGAGUUAGCUCGAGUUGACUCGAGCUCGGAUCCUAUGGAAUUAGAUAAAAGGGAGAGGGUUUACAGAAGAGGCGAGAGCGUGAGAAAUGAAUUGCACAAGUUUCAUUGCUGGCGAGAGAGAGAGAGAGAGAGAGAGAGAGAGGAGAUGGAA
This is a long non-coding RNA of Rhodamnia argentea, 171 nucleotides long. RefSeq lists it as uncharacterized. The transcript is spliced from 3 exons. Lineage: Eukaryota; Viridiplantae; Streptophyta; Magnoliopsida; Myrtales; Myrtaceae. The record is from RefSeq and is a predicted model, not a curated record.